This 291-nucleotide ribosomal RNA is filed under the name Escherichia coli. Its description in RNAcentral is "partial 23S ribosomal RNA". It matches the Rfam family "Bacterial large subunit ribosomal RNA", at positions 2657 to 2925 of the family's 2925-position model. Lineage: Bacteria; Pseudomonadati; Pseudomonadota; Gammaproteobacteria; Enterobacterales; Enterobacteriaceae. The record is from RNAcentral.
GAGAACUGAGGGGGGCUGCUCCUAGUACGAGAGGACCGGAGUGGACGCAUCACUGGUGUUCGGGUUGUCAUGCCAAUGGCACUGCCCGGUAGCUAAAUGCGGAAGAGAUAAGUGCUGAAAGCAUCUAAGCACGAAACUUGCCCCGAGAUGAGUUCUCCCUGACUCCUUGAGAGUCCUGAAGGAACGUUGAAGACGACGACGUUGAUAGGCCGGGUGUGUAAGCGCAGCGAUGCGUUGAGCUAACCGGUACUAAUGAACCGUGAGGCUUAACCUUACAACGCCGAAGCUGUU